Non-coding RNA from Oryctolagus cuniculus (rabbit), 17497 nucleotides. The record is from RefSeq and is a predicted model, not a curated record. Lineage: Eukaryota; Metazoa; Chordata; Mammalia; Lagomorpha; Leporidae.
AGAGGGAGUGGGAAAGGGGAGGGUUGCGGGUGGGAGGGACAUUAUGGGGGGGAAGCCAUUGUAAUCCAUAUUCUGUACUUUGGAAAUUUAUAUUCAUUAAAUAAAAGUUUAAAAAAAAUUCAGUUGCCUCAACAUGUAUUCAAGAGAAGAAAUUCUGUAGCAUUCAAAAGCACAUCUGUGUUACAAGGAACACAUUUCCCGAAUAGGAAAAGUCUUCUGACUAUGCAAAAUCUCCAACUCUCAAUUGUGUGUCUUGUGAUUUUCUCUACCCAAAGCAUGUUUUUGAGUCAGUAUAGUUUAGACAUGUGGUCAAGCAAGUCAGAGUAGCAUCAGGAGCUGAGUAAAAUGACCAUAAAACCAAAUAUACCAAUAGGGAAUUACUUUAGGGCGAAACGCUCACUUUGAAAGUACUGCAGGGCCUGGAGCUAUAGAGCAUUGAGUUAAGCUUUCCACAGUGCUGGCAUCCCACUGGGGGCUGGUUCAAGUCUUGCUGCUGCACGUCGAAUCCAGCUCCCUGCUCAUGUGCCUAAGAAAGCAGUGGAAUAUUGCCCAAGUGCUUGGAUCUCUGCACCCAUAUGAGAUACUUGGAAGAAGAGCCCCUGGCUCCUGGCUUUGGCCUGGCCCAGCCCUGGGUGGAAGCACACUCAUUCAUUCUCUCUCUCCCUUACUCUCUCUCUCUAACUCUACCUUUCAAAUAAAUUAAACACUGAAGGAAGGAAGGAAAAGAAUGAAAGAGAAGAAAAGGAAAGAAAGAAAGAGAAGAAAAGGGAAGGGAAGGGAAGGGAAGGGAAGGGAAGGGAAGGGAAGGGGAGGAGAGGGGAGGGGAGGGGAGGGGAAAGAAAAGAAGGGGCCGAGGCCGUGACACACUAGGUUAAUCCUCUGCCUGCAGGGCCAGCAUCCCAUAUCGGUGCUGGUUCUAGUCCUGGUUGCUCCUCUUCCAGUCCAGCUCUCUGCUAUAGCCUGGGAAAGCAGUAGAGGAUGGCCCAGGUCCUUGGGCCCCUGCAACUGCAUGGGAGACCAGGAGGAAGCACCUGGCUCCUGGCUUUGGAUCAGUGCAGCUCUGGCAGUUACAGCCAUUUGGGGAGUGGAACCAAUGGAAGGAAAAUCUCUCUCUCUCUCUCUCUCUCACUGUCUGUAACUCUACCUUUAAAAUAAAUAAAUAAAAUCUUUUAAAAAAUAAAUAAAAUGAAGAGAAGAAAAAAAAAGAAAGCUAGUUCAGCACUCCUAGUGUUUAGGGGUGGGUUUGGUAAUGAAUGUGUCUCAAAAGCAUGAGAUGAACUAUCUCAUUGGCUUUCCUUUAGAGACAUGCUGACCACUGGUGAUUAUGACUUUACUGUGUUAUGAAGUAAAAUGUCCAUUGAUUCUCCUAAGUUUGUUUCAUUUCUAAGUUACAUUAAAAUUACAGAAUUUACUCAAUAUGAAAUUAGUUGCAAAAUAAUUGAGAUAGAGGGUCCAGUGCUAUGAUAGAGCAGAUUAAGCUGCUGCCUGCAGUGCCAACAUCCCAUAUGGGCACUGAUUCAAGUCCUGGCUGCCCCACUACUGACCCAACUCCCUACUAAUGCUCCUGAAAAAGUAGCAGAUGACUCAGUUCUUUGGGCCCUGCCAUCCACAUGGAAAAUGCAGAUGAAGCUCUUGGCUCCUGUUGCAGACAUUUCAGGAGUGAACCAGUGGAUAGAAGAUUCUCUCACCCUCUGUAACUCUGCCUUUCUAGUAAACAAAUAACUAAUUCUUUUGAAAAUAAUCUAGAUGGCAAUGGAAACUAGAAAUAAAUCUGGAACAUGGUAUGCUAUCCAGCUGGUCUAGAGUUUUUGCUGUGGGAGGAGGAGCAACCCCCCAUUUCAAGCCCUGAGGAGGUCCUGGGUUGUUCAGACAUGAGGAGCUCUCAGAUAUUAUGUUUAAUGUUCUGUGUGAUCUGAUGUAACAAUUCCACCCCUCCAAAGGAACCAGAACCCAGAGCUCUGGUGGUCCAGUUUAGCUUAAGCUGCACAACUCUGAAUCUGUGUAAUAGGCAAUUUACAAAAGAUACUGCUAUUACAGUUAUCAUAAGAUUGAGUCAAAAUGUUCAGAUUUUCUAAAGAUGGAGACUAUCUUUUUAUUCAUUGAAUUUGUCCUGAAAACAAUAGCGAGUCACCUAAUCUUUCAAUAAUAACAAUAAAUAAUUUAAAUUGGCAUGGAAAUUAAAUGCAAGUCUUUUCAGUUGCAAUAAACAAAAUGGCAUUCUGCUACCAUAAAAUAUACACUGCGGGUUCUCUUAAAGAUUUGGGACUUCUAAAGGAAUGCAAAAUGGGUGCAGCUGUCCUCUUGGGGCAUGGAACCAGCAUACCCAUAACAACUCAAUGGGGAAGGCCUCCUCUCUCUGUGUUUCUUUCUGCUUUGUUCUUUUCUCUCCUUGCAAACCACCCUACUCUGGUUUUGGAGGCACGUGAAUAAACACUGCCCAACUUUUCUCAGCCCCUGCGUUUGUAGGACAACAGUUAAGGCACCUUAUUGUCUGAUCACCAAAUCCCAGUUCCAGUAAGAAAGUAUACAGUGGUCUCUGUUUUGCUUUCAUCAGACAUCUGGGACACAGGUUACACUCUGAAUUAGGAACAAAGUCAUGCUUUGUGAAAUGCUGCUCCAGGGCCCAGCACUGCGGAAUGAAGAAUAAAGCCAGGUAAAGCCGCCUGCUGCUCCACUUCUCAUCCAGCUCUCUGCUAUGGCCUGGGAAAGCAGUGGCAAUUGGCCUGAUCUUUGGGUCUCCCACCAAUGUGGGAGACCUGGAAGAAGCUUGAGGCUCCUGGCUUUGGAUCGGCCCAUCUCCAGCUGUUGCAGCCGUUUGGGGAGUGAACCACAGGAUGGAAGACCUUUCUCUUUCUCUCUUUCUCUCUUUCUCCUCUUUCUCUUUCUCUUUCUCUGCCUCUGCCUCUGUGAUGCUGCCUUUCAAAUAAAGAAAUAAUUCUUUAAAAAAAAAGCUACUCCAGGACUCAGACCCUAGAAUCAGUAUGGAAUAGUUUUCAGAAAAGGGCUUGGACUCAGGGAGUGAAUCUAGGAGGCAGGAGAACUUUGGAAGAGCAAUUUUUAAUGAUGCAUGUGGUACUCAAAACACCACUUUAUGGUUUUGUAAAAUAGACAGAAAAUAUUAUGCAACUCCACAAAUAAUAUUUAAAAAUCAACAUGGCACUAAGUAUGAAGUAAAGGAAAAAUAAAAGAAAUUUGUCAUCAUAUUAAGUAUGGGUUCAGUAUUUAAAAUACUGUGAUACCGGCUGGCGCCGUGGCUCACUAGGCUAAUCCUCUGCCUUGUGGCGCCGACACACCGGGUUCUAGUCCCAGUCGGGGCACCGGAUUCUGUCCCUGCUGCCCCUCUUCCAGGCCAGCUCUCUGCUGUGGCCUGGGAGUGCAGUGGCAGAUGGCCCAAGUGCUUGGGCCCUGCACCCCAUGGGAAACCAGGAUAAGUACCUGGCUCCUGGCUUCGGAUCAGCGCAGUGCACCAGCCGCAGCGCACCAGUGGCGGCGGCCAUUGGAGGGUGAACCAACGGCAAAGGAAGACCUUUCUCUCUGUCUCUCUCUCUCACUGUCCACCCUGCCUUUCAAAACAUAAAUAAAUAAAUAAAAGAGGAAAAAAAUACUAUGAUACCGCUGUACUGAAGAUAUUGGUGUGAACUCAGAUGCUUAUAUAUGAUAUAUGAAAUCACUGUAAGAUGAGAUUUACCUACAAAUAUGUAGUAAUGAGAUACAAAUGAAUUGCAUUGUGUCCUUCAAUGCCACCAUGAACAAAUUUUUCUGUAAGCUGCUUUUCCUGAAAUGUGAGGCAUUUUAAGUAAAUUUCUGAACCAGCUACCACCUACUCUGAAGUUGCACAUUGAUUGGGUUUCUACCAGAUAUUGCAAGUAGUCAAACCAGUCAAAAUGUGUAGGUGUUUUAUUUAAAGUUAGGUGUAGAGUCAAAUGUCAAUUUUUCACAACCAUGAGUGUGCAACAGUGUAUAAUAGAAACUUAUGCUGGAUGAAGUUGGUUCUGUAUUUUUUCUAAUGCUGUCCCACCCCCUGUACAGUGUCCAGAUUCACUAAGUUGGUCUAAAUUAAAGUAGCACCCACAAUCACUGACACAAUCUAAAAUAUUCCCACACGCUGCACAUACUGCUCCCACAAAGGGAAGUAGUUUAUAGAAAUGCAUUUCUAGGAAGAGUACCUCACCAAUGAUAAAUACCUUCUCUGCCUUGCCUUUGAUUUGUCAAAUCCUAAACUUUCUCCUGCUGAAAUUUGUCUUCUCUAAACAGCCGAUUCAAUCCUUAAAUAAUGUUGGAAUUUUUCAGUUCUUGUCUUUCUAGAUGUACUAUUAUUCUGCAGUCAGUUUCUGGAAUAAUAAUGUUAAUGUUCCCUAGAUCUCUGCCUUAAGAAGUCUCUCAUUUUCUUACAACAAACUCUUUGGAACAUCAUUUUUUCUCUCUGAACUUUUGUAAGUAGAUCUAGGCUCAUAGUUUUAACAUUUAAAGCUUUCACUUAGACCUCUGCUUGGAGAUCCGCAGAGACAUAUUCUGCUGUCUACUAAAAAUCUCCCCUUAGCAGCCCCAUGAGGACCUUCAAGACAACACCUGCACAGCCAAGCGUAACAUCUCCCUGUGCACCCUGCUUCUCCCUGGCUUCAGGGAUCCUAACUGGGUUUAAUGGGGUGAUAGGUAGAAUAAAAUGCCUGCAACUGAGAAGCUGUCAGCUGCCCUUCUGAAUGUGCAAAGCAGAAGAAUCUUUGCUAUUCUAAGACAUUUUGCUGAUUCUCCGAUUUUGUUUUUUUUUCUUUGUUAUGCCAAUAGAGACCCAGAUUCUGAGCAGAGGCAAGGCUACAAUCUUCUGGUUAUAGAUACUUGUGUGUCUUGGAAAAUGUCAAAUUUUCUCAGGCUAGUUAGAGUCUGUGGAGCAGGUGGGAAGUAUGAAUAAGGCAGGGGAGCUUGAGGGAUGGCCAGCCUAUUAUUUUUUCUACCCAAGGAAUCCAAAGACCUGAUUAUGAGGUUGGUAAAUACUGUGAAUAAAACUGCCAACUUCCACAGUAUGCAUUCUCCCCGGACUCUGUGAGUAGUUAAACUUUCCUUUUAGUUGGGAAUGUGACUACUCACACUGACCAUAUUCCAUUUCAGGCCAGUAAAAUGGGGAGUAAGGAAUGUGUACCUAUUCGUAUGUGCACCUGAAUGGCAGAGUUCUGUUUUUUGCUGUGGACUUUCUUUUCCCUUUUGGUAUAGAACAUAGGCAUGGAGGUGACCUGUGUCUAAACCUAUAAAGAAUCAAUCUUCAGUGCAAAAACUCAACCUGAGUGCCUAUGAACUGCUAAUAAAAAAGAAAUUAUCACUUUUUAUCACAAACUUCUAAAAAUUUGUCAUUUUCUUUAGACAUGAUCCAGGAAGCGCAUAACAGAUAUAGUACAAUGAGUGCAUAUUUUUAUACUCAUCACUACUUCAAAUGAUGGUGAUCAUUAGAUCCUCCUCUAGGUUGUUUUAAAUAUUGUCCCAAUAAAGAAAAAUAUACUGUUGUACUACAAUCAAUCAACAAAUAUUUUGAUAUUUGAAAACUAUUUUCAUAUUCAUAGCAUUUCCUUUAAUAAUUUAUUCUUUUUAAAAUUUAUUUGAAAGACAGAGUUACAGAGAGAGAGAGAGAGAGAGAGAGAGGGAGAGAGGUCUUCUAUCCAUUGGUUCACUCCCCAAAGGACAACAAUGGCCAGGACUGGGCUGUUGCCAGGAGCUAAAGCCAGGAGCCAGGAGCUUCUUCUGAGUCUCCCAUGGGAGUACAGGGGCCCAAGAACUUGGGCCGUCUUCUGCUGUUUUCCCAGGUGCAACAGCAGAGUACUGGAUCAGAAGUGGAGCAGCUAGGACUCAAAUCGAUGCCUGCAUGAGAUGCUGGCAAUGCAGGUGGUGGCUUUAUCCACUAUGUCACAAAGCCAGCCCCUCCUUUAAUAAUGUGUUCUAAUUUUUGAGUCAUCUGUAGGCUUAGUAGGCUGCCAAAGAAGAGAGCUACAUAGCAUGAGAACCUUUACUUAAAAUGUGGCUUAAUAAUACCCUGUGAAGAACUUGAGUCUCUAAAUAACUGUGUACAGCAAACUGCUCCACCUACCCAAACCACUCACUAUAGACUUGAUACAUACAAGAGAAUUACAAUUUCAGUUAUUUAAUUCCCACCAUCUGCACCCUUCUUUGUUUAGGAGACAUGAAAUGAAUUAUAUGUCUCUUGAAGGAACUAACCUCCUCAUACAUUUAUUUUGCUCUUGAUACCUCCAGCACUGUGGGAGAAUCAAUUUAUAUUGUUUUAAGCCUCAAACAUGUGGUGAUUAUUUGUAUCUUUAGUAAGAGAACACAGAUUUUGUUACUCAAAAUGGUAUGCUGCUGUCACUAAUACCUCACAAGAUGAAAGUAGUGUGAAUUGGGUGAUUAUUUUGGACUAGAAGAGUUUUGAGGGGGAUGAUAGAAAUGCUUGCAUUGCCCUGAAGAGACUGUUGGUAGAAAUGUGAAUGUUAAAGCAGUUUCUGUUGAGGCCCUCAAUGUUAAUGAGGAUUAUAUUAUUGGAAACCUGUGAAAAAGAAACCCCAGAAACAUGCCUGAGUGGCAUCCUAAAAUUGAAUAGAGAGAACUUGUAAGCAAUGGAUUUGUCUGUUCAGCCUAGGAUAUUUCCAAUCAAGAUGGAUAGGGUACAGCCUGAUUCUCUUUGAUCUUUACUCUAAAAUAUACAAGGAAAUGGUAAUACAAGUAUGGAAAUAUAAAGUUAAAAGGAAGUGGGAUUUAGCAAUUUUUUAAACUUUUAUUUAGUAACUAUAAAUUUCCAAAGUACCGUUUAUGGAUUACAACGGCCCCCCCAUCCCCAUAACUUCCCUCCCACCCGCACUCCUCCCAUCUCACACUCCCUCUCCCAUUCCAUUCACAUCAAGAUUCAUUUUCAAUUAUCUUUAUAUACAGAAGAUUGAGUUAGUAUAUAUUAAGUAAAGAUUUCAUCAGUUUGCACCCACACAGAACAUAAAGUGUAAAAUACUGUUUCAGUACUAGUUAUAGCAUUAAUUCACAUUGGACAACACAUUAAGGACAGAGAUACCACAUGAGGAGUAAGUACAAAGUGACUCCUGUUGUUGACUUAACAAUUUGACACUCUUGUUUAUGGCGUCAGAAAUCUCCCAAGGCUCUUGUCAUGAGUUGCCAAGGCUAUGGAAGCCAUUUGAGUUCACUGACUUCAAUCUUAUUCAGACAAGGUCAUAGUCAAAGUGGAAGUUCUCUCCUGUCUUCAGAGAAAAGUACCUCCUUCUUUGAUGGCCCUGUUCUUUCUACUGGGAUCUCACUCACAGAAAUCUUUCCUUUAGGGGUUUGUUUUUCUUUUUCUUUUUUUUUUUUUUUUUGCCAGAGUUUCUUGGCUUUCCAUGCCUAAAAUACUCUCAUGGUUUAUUGCAGCUCAAUUCACAAUAGCUAAGACCUGGAAUCAACCUAAAUGCCCAUCAACAGUAGACUGGAUAAAGAAAUUAUGGGACAUGUACUCUAUAGAAUGCUAUACAGCAGUCAAAAACAUGAAAUCCAGUCAUUUGCAACAAAAUGGUGGAAUCUGGAAAACAUCAUGCUGAGUGAAUUAAGCCAGUCCCAGAGGGACAAAUAUCAUAUGUUCUCCCUGAUCUGUGACAACUAACCAAGCACAAAAAAGGAAACCUGUUGAAGUGAAAGGGACACUAUGGGAAACAGUGACUUGAUCAGCCCUUGUCCUGACUGUUGCUGUACAAUUUAAUACUUUAUCCCUUUUAGUAUUUUUUAAUAUUUUUUGGUUGAACUCUGUAAUUAACACACAAUUAUUCUUAGGUGUUGAAAUUUAACUGAAAAGUGAUCCCUGUUAAAUAUAAGAGUGGAAAUAAGAGAGGGAGGAGAUGUAAAAUUUGGGACAUGCUCAAUCGGACUUACCCCAAAUGGUGGAGUUAGAAAUGUGCUAGGGGAUUCCAAUACAAUCUCAUCAGGUUCCAUGUACCAAUGCCAUCUCACUAGUCCAAGUGAUCAAUUUCAGUUCACAAUUGAUCACACUGGUAGGUCUAAGAGUCAAAGGGAUCACACAAACAAGACUAGUGUCUGCGAAUACUAACUGAUAGAACAAAAAAGGGAGAGAACAAUCCAACAUGGGAGGUGGGAUACACCGCAGACUCAUAGAAUGGCAGAUGCCCUAAACAGCACUCUGGCCUCAGAAUCAGCUCUUAAGGCAUUCGGGACUUAGCAUUUUGGGAGUUUCUAAGCCUUUCCAAAUGGCAAAUGAUUCUUUAAUUCAGAAAUUCUCUAUUGAGAGAAAUAAUGUUCUCGAGGAAAUGUCAAGUGUAUAGGUAGAUAAUACUUUACUGAAAAGAGUAAACAUGUGAAUCAUGUAUUCAGGCUCAGCAGGAUCAAGGAAUAGAGUUCCAUCUGGAGAACUUCUAAUGACAUGGAUUCCUUUGACAUACACAGGAAUUCUACAAGGAUUUUGAGAAUGUUACACCAUCAUAAAAACUGUCAAUUUGAAUUGAAAGUGGUGUUAUAAGAGAAGGCAAUUGGAUUUGUACAAUUCUAUAAACUGGAAGCAAGUCAACAGAGCUACUCAGUGGCCAAAACUUAAAAAGUCCAAAAGAUCAAGAGAACAAAAAGUUGAUUUUUUGAGAAGAUAAACAAAAUAGAUAAACCUCUAGCCAGAGGAAAAAACUUGAAUAAACGAAAUUAGAGAUGAAAAAGGAGACAUUAAGACUGACACCAUUGAAACACAAAUGAUUAUAAGAAAGUACUAUUUAGAAUGAUAUAUUAAUAAACUGAAAAAUCUAGAUGAAAUGGAUAAAUUCCUGGAUUCAUAUAACCUACCAAGAUUACAUCAAGAAAAUACAGAAACCCUAAAAGACCCAUAAUGAGCAAUGAGAUUGAAACAGUAAACAAAAGCAACCCUACAAGGAAUUAUUCAGGACAUGAUGGCUUUACUAUUUAAUUCUACAAAACAUUCAAAGAGGAAGUAACUCCAAUCCUCUUCAAACUAUUCCAAAAUAUUGAACAAGAUGGAACUCUGCCAAGCUCAUUUUACAAGACCAGCAUAACUUUGAUACCAAAACCAAAGAUAUGACACAAAAAGAAAACUACAGACCUCUAUCCAUGAACACAGAUGCAAAGAUUCUCCACAAGAUACUAGCAAAUCAAAUCUAAAAGCACAUCAAAAAGAUCAUACAUCAUGAUGAAGUGGGAUUUAUCCCAGAAAGGCAAAGGUGGUUCAAUAUUAACAAAUCAAUAAAUAUCAUAAUUCACAACAAUAGAAUGAAGAACAAAAAUCUUGUGGUCAUCUCAAUAGUCACAGAGAAAGUAUUGGAUAAGCCUCAACACUCCUUCAGGAUAAAAACCCUCCAUAAAUUAGGUAUACAAGGAACAUUCCUCAAAAUUAUAAAGGCUGCAUAGCACAAACCAACAGCCAAAAUUAUUCUUAAUAGGGAAAAGCUGAAAGCAUUUCCCCUCAGAUCUGGAAUAAAACAAGGAUGUCAGAUUUCACCAUUCUUAUUCAAUAUAGUACUGGAAGUUUUAGCAAGCGUAAUUAGGGAGAAGAAAGAAAUAAUGAGCAUCAAAUUUGGGGGAAAAAAUGAAAUUAUCUGUUUGCAGAUGAAAUGAUGCUGUACAUAGAAAAACUUAAACACUCCACCAAAAAACUGAUAGCAUUGAAAAACCAAGUCAGUGAAGUUUCAGGUUAUGAAAUAAACACACAAAAUCAGUAGCUUUUUGUAUGCUAAUUAUAAAUUCACAGAAAGAGAAAUCAAGACAGAAAUUCCAUUCACAGUAACUGCCAAAAAUAAAAUAUUUAGGAAUAAAUUUAACUAAAUAAGUGAAAGAUCUUUACAUUGAAAAUUAUCAAACAUUGAUGAAAUAAAGCAUUGACACAAAAAAAUGGAAAGCUAUCCCUUGCUCACAAAUCAGAAGAAUGAAUCUCAUUAAAAUAUUUAUACUACCUACAGAUUCAAUGCAAUGCCUACCAAAAUAGCAACUAUAUUCUUUCAGAGUUAGAAAAAAACAACCCUAAAACUUAUAUGGAACCAUAAAAGACCCUAAAUAGCCAAAGCAAUCCUGAAGAAAACUCAAGCUUGAGGCAUCACAAUACCUGACUUCAAAGCAUUCUACAAAGCUAUAUUAAUCAAAGCAUGAUACUAGCAUAAAACACUAUACAUAAAUCAAUUGGACAGAAUAAAGGGCCUAGAAAUUCAUCCGCAUACAUAUAGCCAACUGAGUCUUGACAGAAGUGCUCAAACCAUACAGUGGAAUAAGGAUAACCUCUUCAACAAAUGGUGCUGUCAAAACUGGAUGUAUAUAUGCAGAAGAAUGAAAUGAGAUCCAUAUCUCCCAUCGUAUCCAACUCAGUUUGGAUCAAAGGCUUAAAUUUCAUACCUGAGACUGUGGAGAUGCUGUGAGAAAAAGUAAAACACUACAAGACAUUGGUGUAGGGAAUGACUUCUCGGAUAAGAAUCCCCAGAGCAUGUGCAACAAAAGCAAGAAUAAACAAAUGGGACUAUCAAACUCAUCAGCUAUUGCAAAGCAAAAAAAAAAAAAAAAACCAAAAAAAACAAACAAACACAUCAAUAGAGUGAAGAGACAUCCAAGAGAAUGGGAAAAAUAUUUGCAAACCACUUAUCUCACAAAAGAUUAAUAUCCCAAAUAUAUCUCAAAUUUAAAAACUCAACAACAAAAAAGCAACCAAUCCAGUCAAGAAAUGGACACAGAACUUCAGUAGACAGUUCUUAAAAAGCAAAUACAAAUAGCCAACGAUCAUAUGAAAAAAUGCUCAACAUCACUAACUAUGAGGGAAAUGCAAAUCAAAACCACAGUGAGACACCACCUUACCCCUGUCAGAAUGGCUAAAAUCCAAAAUGUAGAAAAUGAAAAAUACUAACAAGGAUGUGGACAAAUGGGGACACGUCUAUGCUGUUGGUAAGAAUGUAAAUUGGUGCAGCCACUGUGGAAAACAGUGUUGGGAUUUCUUAAAAAGCUAGAAAGAGACUUACUAUAUGAUCUAGUAAUCUCAUUACUGGGUAUAUACCCGAAAGACUUGAAAACAAUGAAUCAAAGUGAUACCUACACUAUCAUGUUUAUAGCAGCACAGUACACAAUAGAUAAAAUUUCAAACCAAACAAGGUAUGUAUCAUCAGAGGAAUGGAUAAAGAAAAUGUCAUAUAUAUGCAUAAUGGAAUACUAUUUAGCUAUAAAAAUGGAUGAAAUUCUAUAUCGCAGCAUAAUGGAUGCAACUGGAGGACAUCAUGUUGAGUGAAAUAAGCCAGAUUCAGAAAGAAAAAUACCAGGUGUUCUUCCUUAUAUGUGCGAACUAAAAUUUUAAAAAGAAAGGAAGAAAGAAAAAAAAAGAUCAGAUUGCAGAAAAUACAGUUUUGUAAAACUUUAAUUUAUAACUUUUUCAAACCAAUGAUUAAGAAUGUCAUAUGGGCCGGCUCCGCGGCUCACUAGGCUAAUCCUCCUCCUUGCGGCGCCGGCACACCGGGUUCUACUCCCAGUUGGGGCGCCGGAUUCUGUCCCGGUUGCCCCUCUUCCAGGCCAGCUCUCUGCUGUGGCCAGGGAGUGCAGUGGAGGAUGGCCCAAGUGCUUGGGCCCUGCACCCCAUGGGAGACCAGGAUAAGUACCUGGCUCCUGCCAUCGGAUCAGCGCGGUGCGCCAGCUGUGGCAGCCAUUGGAGGGUGAACCAACGGCAAAGGAAAACCUUUCUCUCUGUCUCUCUCUCUCACUGUCCACUCUGCCUGUCCAAAAAAAAAAAAAAAAAAAAACCAAUGUCAUAUUAUUAUAGUUUUAAUGAUCUUUGACUACUUUAAAAUUAGUGUAUAUGGGUAAAAUUAUUUUUCCAUUCAAUUAUUGUUUAUAGCCAUUGUCUACACUCUCAUUAAACUAGAGUCUUUUUGCUUUUUCUUUGUAAGAUUUCUUAUUUGGUGAAGUAUAAUCUUUUUACUCUAAUGUAAAUUUAUAAUAUUUUAUCUCACAAACUAAAAGAACAAAAAAGAACAGAUAGAAAGGGAGAAGGAAGGAGGGUAGGAUGGAGAAGGGAGGAUGGAGGGAAGGAGGGAGGAAUAUCUUUAUUUCUUACAACUGUAUCUCCAAAUCACCUUACAUAUGUUAAAAACUAAUUAAACAUUAGAAAACAAGAAUUAUCAACAGUCACUAGAAGUGAGCAGAGAAGUAUGGAAAAUAUUCUCCUUCUAAGUCCUCAAAGAGAACAAACCAUGCUGACACCUUAAUUUUGUGCUUCUGCCUUCCAGGACGGUGAGAAUAAAUUUUUAUUGUUUUAUCACACAAAGUUUGUUGUGAUUUAUUAGAGAAGUCCAGGAAAGUAACAGGGUAGCUAAUUAAAAAUUCAAAAUACAAUUUUAUUUAGGUCAUUCCAUAUUUUCUCUCAUUAAUUAUACCUAGAAAGAGCUUGUUAUAAACUGAUUUCUUGUUCUUAGAUACAUUAUCUUUACAUUUCAAAACUUUAUAUUCUUUUUAAGAUUUUUUAAUUUUGUUUCAAAAUUAAAUUAGGUCAUCUUGAGGUUAUAAUAAUUUAUCACCAUCCACUUACAUUGGAAGAAGGAACUAAUAAAAUUUGGAUAUGACAAAUGGCACUUAAACUCACCCAUUGAGUAUUUGGAUAGUGACAAAUGGCACUUAAACUCAUCUAUCUUAGUUCUCUUGGUCAACAAUAUGUAAAGCAAUUUCAUUCCUUCUGAGAACCAGGGACGUAUUUCACCAUGGUCUUCUAGAAAGCAGGACUUAUGGUACAUGACAAGGGAAGAAGCCAUCAAUGUAUAAUCACCUGUCAUAAUCAACCUUUUCCUUGUUAUCAAAAAAUAGUCCUGGGCAUACUCUGCAUGGACUGUUUAGGUAAGUUCUUGAGAUUCUAAUACAAGGAAGCUGAACAUGACUUAGGGGAAUAUAAACAAAAUUUAUCAUGUUUAUGUCUUUCCUGCGACUCAUUUUCAUCUUUCUAGGUGAAAGCCAGAGUCAGAAGAAUUUAGCAACUCCAAGCCUAUGGAAUAAGUUUGGGAAAUGAAAGUUGAUUCUGAGUUUCCAAGACUGAGUGAAAAGUGAUGUCUCUGAGAGCCAUAGAACAUCCUGGAAGUCUGGGGAUUACUGGAGAAGGGCCUGAAGAAAUUGACUGUUUUAGGGGUGGGCAGCUGCUUCUCUUUGGCUCAGUCAGUAUGAUGCUCGCAACUUAUGAUUGGGGAAGAAUCUGGACAGAAAUCUUGGAACUGUUGCAAACAGUUUUACCAGAGGUAAGUGAGUCUGAAUUUGCAGCUCAGACACGAAAGAAGAAUCAAGAUUAUCAGAGAAGCAGAACUUGGGCAUGGAUGAAAAUGCUUUUGAGGCCUGAAAUACUGUCAUCUUUCAAUUAUAUGUCAAUCAGUUUCUUUUUUAUUUAGUCAUUUCUACUUGCAUCUCAGAUUACAUUUCUUUUACUUUGCCACUUUCACUAAUAUGAUUCAUUCCGCAGAUUUACAGAAUGCAAAAUAUAUUCAAAUCAUGAUUUAGCAUUCUGUAUUUCUAACUGUAUGCUAUGAAAGACUUGCUAAUUUUACUUCAGAAUUACUUAAUGACCUUUAAGACUAGAUAUAAUUCAAUCACUUAUUUUGCAAAUGGGAAAUGGAGGCCUUUGAAAUAAUAAAAUUACCCCACUUAAUAGACUCACAUAAAAACACCAUUCUUAGUACAAAAUAUAUUUCAUCGUGUUCUUUGAACUAGGAAAUGAUGUUUCAAGUAGCCAACCUAAGUUGGCUGAGGAAGUUCAAUGCAUAUGAGAAAAUGAUAAGGAGUCCUUUCCUAAACAUGAAGCAGAAGUUUAGGAACAAUCCACAAACGAGAACAGAAUAAAUCCCAAGGCUUGGGAAGACUUUUGCCUAGUUUAUGCAACAACCACAAGCAUAUCAUGAUAUGAAGGAAAAGAAAGAAGUGUAAUAGUUGACACAUAGCAAAAAUCUUUGGUUUAUUUAUUUAGCAAAUCUCAUGUGUUACUUUACUCUAGACUCUGUGACGGUACCUUAUGAAAUGAUGGUGAGAAUCCAGGCUGCACUCUUGCAGAAUUCAAUAGGAAUGCUCAUCUCACAAAGAAACAUAAGACAAACGGAGGGGUAGGUUCAAGAAAGGAAUUGGGGUUGAGAAGACUUCCCCUGAUUGCAGGAUAAGGAGAAUUUAGCAGGUAGAACUCUAAGAGUAUUUCAGAACUAGAGUAGAGCAUAAUCCAAAGUUUGUGAUUGAGAAAGGAAGAAUAGGAAACUCAGAGAAGUCCACAACAUUAAUGUGGCCAGAAUGUAGAGCGUAGGCAACAAUGAGUCAUGUUGGUAAGGAUGCCAGGCCAACAACACAGGUGGAAGCACACAGGAUCAUCACAGGACUUAAACACCUCACCAUGAAGCAAUGUUAGAGAGCCUUUCAUUGCAGGAAACAAUUGAGUUUCCACCUAUAAUUUGGAAAGAGAGUUUGUAAUUUAGAAAAUUGUUGUCAAUGCCAUGUCCUUCAACAUUUUUAAAGGACGUAUGCCUACAGCAUUAGAAAUCAUGUUUGUGGUUCCUUCAUAUAGAAGCAUGACUGGUGACUCUCCUUUCACACAAAAUAAAACAUUUUCAGGUUUAAAUAAACCAGAAUGCAUGAUUGAACAACAUGCCUGUGAAUAAACAUGUUUACAAUAUCAUUUUUCCUCUGUAUUUAGUAUGAACACUUGUGAGCUUGUCAUCAUCAACAAAAGGUAUUGAUUAAUGUGAUAAGCACUCUGCCUAGUUCUACAGAAGCUGAUAAGGUAGAGAACACUUGUAUGCCAUAGGACCCACACAAAGUAUAGAGACCCAACUUCUUGUAUGCUCUGUGCCAAAAUGGUCUACAUGCAAAGUGACAGUGAGCUUCUAUGUUAAAUAAAAUGUUAAUGUUUAUCUCCAGAUAGUGAAUUUGAGAUUAUGUGCUUUUCUGCAUUACUUAAAUUUCCUACAGUGAAUAAAUAUGUAUAGUGAUAAGAAAAAUACAUUUUUCAUCACAGAGAAGAAUUUUUAUUUUUAAAGAAGCACUCAUGUCACCACCUUAUACUGUGUCUCUCUAGAAACAGGGUUGACAUGUUGGCUGACCAUGAGCUUCAGAGAAUUAAAAAUAACCACGGGAAAUUUUCUCAGGUACUCAAAGAGGGAUGUCCUUGCUGGGAGUGUCCUUCUUAAUGCCCUCUAGGAGUCCUGGUACUUGGCACCUCCUAAGGAUGAUUAGCUCACCUGGGCUAGUGAAUGACUUAUCAGAACUCCCCAUGUUGAGCUCAAGUUUGUUGCACUCAUUUUCCCAUUCAUCUAAACACAAUACUCUUGCCCACUAGCCUGUAAGGACUCGGAAGAUAAGCUAGCUUAGGGUUGUCAUGUUACUUCCUCUGACACUGAAGGGACAGGACAGCCACAUGGCCACAGUGACUAGUAGUGGAAGCUGGAUAUUGUCCUGCCAUUUGCUCAGGUGGAAGGGGAAGUGAGUUGAUGUCAGAUAACCAGCUCCUGUCCCAUGAAGAGUACUCACUUGUCACAUGAGAGCACCUCCUUUGAUUGUUGUUGAAUAGAUGCAUUCUGUAUUAGAAGGAAGCUGGAAUCAGGAGAUGAAGGGUGGUACAUGAACCCAGGCACUGUGAUGUGGGCUGAGGCCUUUCAACCAAAAUUUUUAACUGCUAGGCAAAUUGCCUGCUUCCUUAGUCAUUUGGACAUGAGAUUAUUCUGCAAGAGCAUAACCAAAUGUAACUGUAUAAAUCCUACAAUCUCAUUGACAAACAUUGUUUAACAUGAAAGAAACCAUGCAAUAGGGUCUUUAAAAAGGUCAUGAAAAAUGCGAUUGUAAAAAAUGCAUUUCAAAAUCUUUUGCACCAAAAUUAAUGGAUUUUUUAGCUCCAUAUUUUACCAAAACUUUUGAAGGACCCUUGUACAGGUGUACUUGAAUUGUAUGAUUAAUUGUACAAUUAGCUAAUAUGAGGCAACUUUUCCUUUCUGGAAAGUCACAGGCAAUAAAGAGGUGGAAUAACAAUGGUCUGUAUGCUUAUGGAGUUAUAAGCCUCAGAAUGAACUCAUAUUCAGCUUGAUGGAAAUAAUUCAACUUAGAUACACACAUUUACAUAUAAAAUUCUAUGUAAUUAUAGAUACAUGGCAAGGAGGAUGCAUAUAUGGCUGUAUUCUGUCAGUCAAUUACAGUAUAGAGACAAUGACUCACUGGUAGCAAUGUGUAACACCUAGCUCCCUAAACUGAUUUCUAAUAGUGUUUUCCAGUAAAAGGAUCUGGAGCUCCUUGAAGGAAUGACUCAUUCCAGGAUUGGUUUGGGAAAUUUGCAAGAUGUUUAUAGAGCACAGGAUUAAACAAUCUAAAAACAAGAAAAUGAAAAAUUCCACAAACCCACAAUGAGAUGAUUGUGUUUCAGAAACAGUAGACAACUGAACGAGCUUCCAAAGAACAAAGAACAAUCUGUAUUCCAAGGAUCUCUGUCCUUAAUGUGCUGUACAUUGAGACUUAAUGCUAUAACGAGUACUCAAACAGUAUAUUUCGCUUUGUGUUUCUAUGGGGGUGCAAACUGUGGAAAUCUUUAAUUAAUGUAUACUAAACUGAUCUUCUGUAAAAAAAAAAAAAGAAGAAAUUAUCAAUUCCCAACUUGACUCUCACUGGGAUUAAACAUGACAAUAGGUCUGAUCUGAUUUCACCAUCAUUUAAAAAAUCAUCUAUUAUUUUUCACUUUAUGUUUGUGUGGGAGCAAACUGUUGAAAUCUUUACUUAAUGUAUGCUAAACUGAUCUUCUGUAUAUAAAGAGAAUCAAAAAUGAAUCCUCAUGUGAAUGGAAGGGGAGAGGGAGUGGGAAAGGGGAGGGAUGCGGGUGGGAGAGACGAUAUGGGGGGAAAGCCAUUGUAAUCCAUAAGCCGUACUUUGGAAAUUUAUAUUCAUUAAAUAAAAGUUAAAAAAAAGAAAAAAACUAAAAUCUAUAAGAUCAUAAAUAAAAAAAUAAAAUACUCCUAGUUCAUACUAGUAUAAUAAAUAAGUGAAUGAAUAAACCAGUUAAUAAGAAUAUACAGAUGUCUCAUGCAAAAUAAUUCCUGAUCAUUUAUGUAGAUACUCUGCCUUCAAAGAAUUGGAACGCAGCUCCCUACUUCCUAGAUGUGGCCAGUAGGUACAUGAUAAAAUGCCUUUGAAGAGUACAGAAUGGAAAAGUGGACAGAAAUUAGAUUUUAGUGGAGUAUCCUGAAAAGCUCUACCUCUUCCUCACCCAGGUGACCAAGGUUAGCAUAAAUAGUAUCACGUUAAUGUCAACAGUGAAGAAUAUGUACUUCCAUUCAAUGUGAUAAAAAUGGCAAGUUACCUCUGUGGCCUUAUUUUCAAAAGCCAACCUCAGUAUAUGAGGAAUAAAAUGGACCACUUUCAAUGGAGACAGAUAAUUACAUAGCAUCUAUCCAGUACUCUUCACAACUACCAAUCAAAUGACUGCUGAGGAAGUGUCACAGCCAAAAGAAGCCUAAAGAGAUGUGUAUUAUUUAAGUAAACAUUAAAUCAUUUGAUUUUUUUUACUUUU